UCUUGCUCAAAUCAGACAACAAAGAGGUAAGGCCAGUCACGUCCUUCCAAGUAACGGCUACUUUACCACUGUAGCCGUCACAAAUCAUUCCAACGGUCACAUUGCCCUUCACCAGCGACCAGAACCACCACGUUUGUCUCUCCGCUCUAUAUAUCCCCCCUUCCGAUCUCUUUGAACCCUUCAUCUCCACUACUCCAGCAAAAGCCAAAACACUUCCCGCUUUCCAUUUAUCAAUUGUUGCCGAUUCCAUAAACGCCCACUCAAUAUGUUGCAGAGACUCUUUCUACUCAUUUUCCUUGCUUUUACUUUUUCUUUUAUUGUACAUGCAGACAAUGCGCCUGCCCCUUCGCCAUCUAAAACAACACAGCCCUCUGCAUCACCUGCCAAAUCUCCUGUCUCUUCUCCUGCCAGUGCUCCUGCUGAAUCUCCCACAACUUCUCCUGUAAGUGCUCCGGCUAAAUCUCCGACAACUUCUCCCGCAAGUUCUCCGGUGACUUCUCCGUCUUCCACUCCUUCCUCUUCCCCUUCAAAAUCUCCCGCACAAUCUCCUAAAAUCUCACCUGCAAUCCUGCCAUCCCCAACUUCUGUUGUUCCCCCAUCUCCAAGUGGGUCCCCUCCAGUUUUGUCUCCAACGACUCCACCGCCAUCGGUUUCCACUCCGGCUGCAACUCCGGUGACUACUCCGACUUCGGCUCCAAUCGCUAAUCCACCAGUUACGGAAGGUCCGGCUACUGCAGCAACCCCAGAGGCAUCGGCGAGUAUUCCUUCCAGUUCUGCAACACCAGUAGAGGCCCCAAUGGUUUUCCCCUCCACCAGCAGCCCGCCGAUCGCCACUCCAGCGAGUUUGUCACCAGAAACGGCAGAAAGCCCGACGAACGAUGAAUCGGGUUCUAGGUCCAUGAAUGAGAUUGGGGUUGCUUUUGGGUGGUUAUUUAUUGUGUACUGGGGCUUCCUUGGCUUGGCUCGGGCAAUUUAAUUUUUUUUUUAAACCAUUUAAUUUUAUUUAUUUAUUUAUUUAUU
This 1020-nucleotide unclassified non-coding RNA is filed under the name Hevea brasiliensis (rubber tree). The record is from RNAcentral. Lineage: Eukaryota; Viridiplantae; Streptophyta; Magnoliopsida; Malpighiales; Euphorbiaceae.